RNAcentral lists this long non-coding RNA (240 nucleotides) under Nicotiana benthamiana. RNAcentral describes it as "long non-coding RNA (NBEN_LNC010405)". The record is from RNAcentral. Lineage: Eukaryota; Viridiplantae; Streptophyta; Magnoliopsida; Solanales; Solanaceae.
CCGCUAUUCCUUUCUUUGUUACAAUUGAAUUGAUGACUGGUUUAAUUUAGUUGUAUAGUGGAACGUUUCUGGUCAAUUAUGCAAACAAUGGGUUUUUGAAUUUUUAAAGUUUGCUGAUAGUUUGGAGGUCCAAUGGCAAUCUUGAAUUUCUAUACGGAAAAUAUGUCGCGUUCUCCGGCAUCAAAUUGGCAGCGGGAGUCGACCAAAGUUGCCGGAAUUUGUUGCAACGGGAUGGAAACU